This 3030-nucleotide long non-coding RNA is filed under the name Bemisia tabaci. Its description in RNAcentral is "lncRNA ENSSSA2NGG000887". Lineage: Eukaryota; Metazoa; Arthropoda; Insecta; Hemiptera; Aleyrodidae. The record is from RNAcentral.
AUGUUUGAAAAUCCUGUUUGUCUAUCUACAACAAAAGCUGAUGAGAAAUGUGGGAGUGCUCUAGAUGCUGAUAUUCGUGAAGAAACUGAUUUUCCAAAGCCAGAAACAAAAUCGGACACGGGUACUUCCACGGUAUCUAAUUUUGUUGAAAAUGCAUGUUCUUCACCCGAAGAAACACAGGAGUUACUGAAGGAAAUUGAGACCAUUGCAGAAACCAACACAUCCCAGAUCAACUCUCAAGCCAAUUACCGAGACGGGAUUACAACGCAUGAUGUGGAUAUUUCUGGAAAAUCUUUCGUAAAGAAACUCAUCGCUCUAAACAUUGAAACGAAUGUCGAAGGAUCCCUUCCUUCAGUACAUGAUGGUGCUGAAAUUGCAUUUUUAGUUUCAGAACCGGCUCAUCGAGAAGUGGAUCUUCAGUCUCCGAUCGUUGUGCAGCAAGGACAAAAUGAUUUUCAGGAAUCAGAUAAGAAUAUUUCUGUCUCUGCUACUUAUUCAGAAUCAUUUAAAGAAACUUCUGAUAUUCAAACAAGUGAGCUCGACUUUUCUUUGAGGUCUCCACAAAAAUCACCGUGUGAAACUUCGUGUAUCAAUUCUGACAGUCAAAUAAACCCGAGUGAAGAAUGCCUAAGUAUCCUUUCACAGACUGUCGAACAAUCAGAAUUCAGUGCAAAGACUAGCUCCAGCACUCCUCACUAUGAUCCUAAAAUUGACACUAUCUCUUCAAAUACUUCUCCCGAGCAAAGCUAUUCUAAUGUUGAGGAUCGUCUUCCCUUUGAUAUCACAUUCAAUUCCUCUCAAGUCUCGUCACAAGAGCCUCUUUCCGACUCUAAGCAGCCAGUCUCGGAAAGUUUAAUUCAUGAAGCAGUUUUGGAAAAUGAGACUCUUCCUAAGGCUGUCAAAUCAGGUGAAAUGAUGACAGACUUUACUGUAGACUCAGGACCAAUAUCUGGUGAGGAUGUGUCGAUAAUCAGACCAUCUAGUGAUUCUAAAAUUGAGCCAUGUACAUUACUUGAUCAGGGAGAGCAAUCCAAAAAUCUGACUUCUAGCCCAAUCGAUAUCCAAAUUGAAUCAGAAUCUGAGCUGAAUAUCCAUGCAGUUCCUAGUCAAGUCAAAACAGAGACUGGUUUGGAAAUAUCUACCGUAGAAACUUCAAGAAAGUUAAAUGAUGAAUCAGAAACAGCAACCGUUCUGAAUGAAGCUCGACAAGAAACUGAGAAGACGGUUUCAACCAACAAUGAUCGCAAUACUCCCAAUCCUGCAUCGAUUAUACUUGAUGAUGCGAAUCAAUUCUCAUCAGAAGCAAGUACCAUUCUCUCUGAAGCUCUAAUCAAACGUAAAACUGAAUCGGACAUUUCAGAGAAUUCAAGCAACAUUUCAUCUUUUGAAAAUCAAGGAAAAAGUCCUUCCGUUGAAAUUUUGGUGUCAUCAAAAACUGAAAUGGAUAUCGCAGAAUUCGUAGAAGACACUCACCUAGGAGGUCAAACUGUAUCAUCUCCCAUCGAAAAUUCAUCGAAUGUUGACGGUCAACCGAACAUCUCAGAAGUCCCUACUAACAUUCAGUCGGAAAAUGAAACAGAAGUUUUGCCUUUUACAUCUCAAAUUGAAACCAAAUCUGAAUCAAAUUCUACAUUCAUAUCAGAUGAUCAAGAGUUGAUAGGGAACUCAGAGUCAACUAUCGGAAAUGUUCAAACCCUUUCAGAAAAAGAGCCGCAAUCAAGACCACAAAUUCCUCUUUCUGAAACUGAGGUAAAACUAGAAAGUGAACUGACAAUCAAUCUCAUUGCACGUGAUCCUCCAAGGAAAGAUUCAUCGCGAACCACCUCCACCAAAGCUCCGGUCGAAAUAGAGACCUCACCAAACAUAAAUCAGCUUUCCAUUAAUGUCCCAUCAGAAGAACAGACAAAGAAGUCUUCCAAUGACGCUCGAGCUGAAUUACGAAGCGAAUCAGGUUUCUCAGAUACUGGUGUCAUCGAAGGCAACUCUCGACAAAACAAAGAAACAUUUAACAACACUGAGAUAGUUGCAGAAAGGAAAAAUAAUGAGACGGACAGCUUUGAAAGUUUAAGUAACACACUGCCUAAAUGCCCUCGAGAAAGGUCUUCAGUGAAAGCUCUAGAUGAAAUUAAGACCGAGUCUAAAGAUUCAAUUAUCUCUAGCAACAUUGUAGCUGAAUGUUCACCAAAAUGUUCUCUUUUUGAGGUUUCAAAUGUAACGGAAAAAGGAUUAUGUACCUCCAUGAUGUCCACUCCCAUUCAGCCUGAAAGUAUCGAGCGAACCCGUCUUGUUGAAACUCAAGGGGAAGCAGAAGGUGAAGAUGUGUCGUCAAUUGAGAGUCAGAAUCCAUUUGUGAAAGAUGGGGAAAUCCCAUCUUGUAAAACCAUUGACGAACCAGUGUUAGACAUCCUGCCGGACACAGUGCAAUCAGUAGGAAGUGAAGACUCCGAUAGAGAAAUAGGUAAACCUCCUACUGAACCACUAGGAUCCUUUGAAUCAGCCCCAAUCAAUAGUAUACAAACAGAAGAACAUGUUGAUAUCUCCCGAUCAACAGAAAACUCUCCAUCAAAAGAGGGAAGGUCUAAGAUCGACUCUUUGGUGCUGAAUUAUGAUACAACAGACACACUAUCGGAAACCGCGUUAGACAUUACAGCAUCCGCAGGUAUUAGUGAUCAGUCCAAAUCACUCGCAACCGAUGAUGUCCGAACGAAACAUUCCCUAACGUUGGACGCUUCAGUAUUUGUCGCUGAAAGCUGUCAUGCCGACUCAUUAACAAUCGACCAAGAAGAGUCGGAAGAACUAGUCAAACCAUCGAUUGUGCCUGACGCUGAAGAAGCUGUGAAAGAAAGCUCUCAGAUAAUAUUAGCCCCAGAAGAUCUUUUAGAUUCGACACAACCAGCGAUUGUCUCCUCGAUGCCGGAUGAUAUAACAUCAGCAGAAGAAUACAUUGAGAAGAACAAUUUGAUGACAAAACCAUUAGUCAAAGUUUCUUCUGCCCAAGAUGUUCUGCCAUCUUCAGAAAAAUCAUGUUAG